This 99-nucleotide ribosomal RNA is filed under the name Meriones unguiculatus (Mongolian gerbil). Lineage: Eukaryota; Metazoa; Chordata; Mammalia; Rodentia; Muridae. The record is from RNAcentral.
GUUUAUGGCCAUACCACCCUGAUCUCAUCUGAUCUCAGAAGCUAAGCAGGGCUGGGCCCGGUUAGUACUUAGAUGGGAGAAAGAAGUCAUCUGUUUAUC